UGGUGGAGUGCACAUCAUCCUCCAUUCUCUGGCAGAAUCUGUUGCAAAGCAUUCGUGGUGUUCUCGUUUGACCUGAUAUGAAAGAUCAACCAUUUCAGGCCACGCAAACACCAAACAGCGCCAUUAUGAACUAUCAGCGGAGCGGCAAUACCAUUUUCUUUUUGGCAAGCAUCACAACUUGGAUGCACAUUAAUUGUGUUGUGCUAACUAAACAACAACUGAAAUUGCAAUCCAGAAGAAAGAAAAGGACGGCCAAAAUUGGUUGGUGACAGAUUGACACUCGCUCUUGGGCUUCAGAAGAAGCAUCAUAUUGAGGUGUGCCCAGUGAUCCAGAUUUAACAUGCUAUAUCACAUCACAGAAAUCUGUAAUUAAUUUUUACUAAAUUGCAACUAAAAAUUGACAAAAUUGUAACUUGUAGAAUAUCAUUGAACUUGAUGUCUAGAUUAUGUUCGGGAUCAGGAUGAAACAACAAAACAAAAAGGGAGCACACAAAUCCGUAUUAUUUCCAUGCCAAAUUCCGAAAUUGGCUUCAAAAAAUCAAGGAAAAGGAAUAAAUUGGUAGGUCACCAUCGAUGUCGUAGGAGAUUCAGGAUCAGCGAUGUUGAUAGACGCUGGGAUAGCCUCGUCGCCUCCUAUUUACCCUCAUCAUGGUUGGGGAGGAUGGCCGACGUUGGUUGGUAUGGCCUAGAUGCCGCCUAGGUCAGUUCGUCCUGGGAGCAGCGGUGCGAGCAGCGGUGGCGGCGACAGGGAAGCGGCAUGGCGAGGAGGAGGACGGGAUGAGCAACGGCUGGGAAGCGCAGGGCCGGCC
RNAcentral lists this long non-coding RNA (809 nucleotides) under Oryza sativa (Asian cultivated rice). RNAcentral describes it as "long non-coding RNA (OSAT_LNC000243)". Lineage: Eukaryota; Viridiplantae; Streptophyta; Magnoliopsida; Poales; Poaceae. The record is from RNAcentral.